RNAcentral lists this ribosomal RNA (492 nucleotides) under uncultured bacterium. Its description in RNAcentral is "partial 16S ribosomal RNA". It matches the Rfam family "Bacterial small subunit ribosomal RNA", at positions 29 to 507 of the family's 1533-position model. The record is from RNAcentral.
AGUGAACGCUGGCGGUAGGCCUAACACAUGCGAGUCGAACGGCAGCACAGUAGGAGCUUGCUCUUACGGGUGGCGAGUGGCGGACGGGUGAGGAAUACAUCGGAAUCUACUUUUUCGUGGGGGAUAACGUAGGGAAACUUACGCUAAUACCGCAUACGACCUACGGGUGAAAGCAGGGGAUCUUCGGACCUUGCGCGAUUGAAUGAGCCGAUGUCGGAUUAGCUAGUUGGCGGGGUAAAGGCCCACCAAGGCGACGAUCCGUAGCUGGUCUGAGAGGAUGAUCAGCCACACUGGAACUGAGACACGGUCCAGACUCCUACGGGAGGCAGCAGUGGGGAAUAUUGGACAAUGGGCGCAAGCCUGAUCCAGCCAUACCGCGUGGGUGAAGAAGGCCUUCGGGUUGUAAAGCCCUUUUGUUGGGAAAGAAAAGCAGCAGGUUAAUACCCCGCUGUUCUGACGGUACCCAAAGAAUAAGCACCGGCUAACUUCGUG